AAAAUAGCUCAGUCGGUAGAGCAAUCCUCUCGUAAGGGAUAGGUCGGGGGUUCGAAUCCCUCUUUUAGC
This 69-nucleotide transfer RNA is filed under the name bovine gut metagenome. It matches the Rfam family "tRNA". Rfam says of the family: Transfer RNA (tRNA) molecules are approximately 80 nucleotides in length. Their secondary structure includes four short double-helical elements and three loops (D, anti-codon, and T loops). The record is from RNAcentral.